RNAcentral lists this transfer RNA (73 nucleotides) under Acidobacteriota bacterium. RNAcentral describes it as "Acidobacteria bacterium (activated sludge metagenome) tRNA-Thr". It matches the Rfam family "tRNA". Rfam says of the family: Transfer RNA (tRNA) molecules are approximately 80 nucleotides in length. Their secondary structure includes four short double-helical elements and three loops (D, anti-codon, and T loops). Lineage: Bacteria; Pseudomonadati; Acidobacteriota. The record is from RNAcentral. RNAcentral also lists the same sequence under 1 other name.
GCCGGUGUAGCUUAGUUGGAAGAGCGUCUGCAUGGUAAGCAGAAGGUCACAGGUUCAAUUCCUGUCAUUGGCA